UUAUAGCUCUUUUAGUAUGAUAUAGUGAGAAUAUUGAGCUCAUACUUGAGGAGUGAAAAACGCUCUGGUUACUAACAUAACCUCAGUUCCCUGAGAUAAGGAAACGAGUGUUGCAUUGAAUGCUAUGGGUAAACUCCUGUUUACUCUGAAUACUGAAGCAUCCAAUAGUGUUGUGCUAUAAGCAAGUGCAGAACGAAGCUGCCCUGCAAGUCCCACCCAGAAGCGCCUGUCCAGAGGGCUCCAACAAACAUGAACUAAUUUGAGCCUCAAGACAUUAGGCUGGGGACUACAUAACAGGACCUUCUCCACUCUUAGAGGGGAUUAGGCAAUUUAAACAGACAAAAUCCAGAGGGCGAAACCCUUCCCGAAAUAAUAAACCCUGGUGAAGGUGGAUGGCGAUGACCAGCCGGCAGCCGCACAGAUAUCAUCAAUAGAAAUCUCACUGGACCAAGCCCAGGAGGAGGCCAUUCUCCUGGUGGAGUGGGCCUUUACUCCUAUAGGACACUGUAAGCCCAAUGAGGCAUAAGCCAGGGCUAUAGCGUCGACUAUCCAAUCAGCAGCCCUUUUGAGUGACCUCCAAAGCAUACAAAGAACUGCUCUGAGUGCCAAAACGAGCCAGAGCGCUCCAUACACUAAGAUUCAAGACCGGGCAGAGUGGAUUGGGACCCUGCUCAUCCUCUGAAUUGGGAAGAGCCAGAAGGGCCAUCAGUUAAUGGGAACUAUCUGACCAGACGAACAUGAUAACUUAUCAGAGCGCGGUUGCCAAGGACAUGGCUAGCGCUGGGAGACAGAAGAGAAAGCAGACAAGCAGGCAUUUAACACACAGAUCGUUGUGAUAUUGUCACAGUUACAGGACAAUACGCAGGAUGUACUGCACAGACUGACCACACUAGAACUUCUCACAGCAUCACCAGCUGAAAUCAUUCCCCUCAAAGCUUGGCACUCUUAAGUCACCAAAAAAGAGGUUGCCUCGGUGGCCUUUAAACAUAUCCCCUAUCACUGUAGUGCUGACAGUUAUCUGGCCCUUUGCUGUGCACUGGCUGGUGCAGUUUUACUUACAGAAAAGGAGGAG
This is a long non-coding RNA of Cyprinus carpio carpio, 1072 nucleotides long. Lineage: Eukaryota; Metazoa; Chordata; Actinopteri; Cypriniformes; Cyprinidae. The record is from Ensembl.